Molecule: ribosomal RNA, 1255 nt
Filed under: uncultured bacterium
Lineage: Bacteria
Description: bacterial SSU rRNA
Rfam family: Bacterial small subunit ribosomal RNA
Source: RNAcentral
CAGAAUGUACGCUGGCGGCGUGCUUAACACAUGCAAGUCGCACGAGAACGCUUCAGCUUGCUGAAGCUAGUAAAGUGGCGCACGGGUGAGUAACGCGUGGGUAAUCUACCCUCGAAUUGGGGAUAACAUCGCGAAAGCGAUGCUAAUACCGAAUGAUAUCUUAAGAACCUCGGUUAUUAAGAUCAAAGGUGGCCUCUACAUGUAAGCUUCUGUUUGGGGAUGAGCCCGCGUACCAUUAGCUUGUUGGUAGGGUAAUGGCCUACCAAGGCUACGAUGGUUAGCUGGUCUGAGAGGAUGAUCAGCCACACUGGAACUGACACACGGUCCAGACUCCUACGGGAGGCAGCAGUGAGGAAUAUUGCGCAAUGGGGGAAACCCUGACGCAGCAACGCCGCGUGAGCGAAGAAGGCCUUCGGGUUGUAAAGCUCUGUCGAAAGGGACGAAUCCGUUGGGUGUUAAUAUCACCUAGCGCUGACGGUACCUUUAAAGGAAGCACCGGCUAACUCCGUGCCAGCAGCCGCGGUAAUACGGAGGGUGCAAGCGUUGUUCGGAAUUACUGGGCGUAAAGCGCGUGUAGGCGGCUUUUUAUGUCGGGUGUGAAAGCCCUGGGCCCAACCCAAGGAAGUGCGCUCGAAACUGGAAAGCUUGAGUACGAUAGAGGAGGACGGAAUUCCUAGUGUAAAGGUGAAAUUCGUAGAUAUUAGGAAGAACACCGGUGGCGAAAGCGGUUCUCUGGAUCGAUACUGACGCUAAGACGCGAAAGCGUGGGGAGCAAACAGGAUUAGAUACCCUGAUAGUCCACGCCGUAAACGAUGGAUACUAGUUGUUGGGAGCUUAUAAACUUUCAGUGACGACGCUAACGCAUUAAGUAUCCCGCCUGGGGAGUACGGCCGCAAGGUUAAAACUCAAAGGAAUUGACGGGGGCCCGCACAAGCGGUGGAGCAUGUGGUUUAAUUCGACGCAACGCGAAGAACCUUACCUGGGUUUGACAUCUGGGGAAUUUCUUUUAAUCGAGAAAGUGCCCUUCGGGGAGCCCCAAGACAGGUGCUGCAUGGCUGUCGUCAGCUCGUGUCGUGAGAUGUUGGGUUAAGUCCCGCAACGAGCGCAACCCUCGCCUUUAGUUGCUACCAUUUAGUUGGGCACUCUAAAGGGACUGCCCGGUUAACCGGGAGGAAGGUGAGGAUGACGUCAAGUCCUCAUGGCCCUUACGUCCAGGGCUACACACGUGCUACAAUGGUCGGUACAAUGGGUCGCC